This 676-nucleotide ribosomal RNA is filed under the name Petrichus tobioides. RNAcentral describes it as "partial large subunit ribosomal RNA". The stretch from base 429 to 676 matches the Rfam family "Eukaryotic large subunit ribosomal RNA", at positions 665 to 885 of the family's 3401-position model. Lineage: Eukaryota; Metazoa; Arthropoda; Arachnida; Araneae; Philodromidae. The record is from RNAcentral.
GGAUCCCCUAUUUGGGAAGAGGUAGGGCAUCCCGAGACGGGGGCCGUCCCACUGCGGUCGUUCUGCCGUUCCCGACGCAUUUGUCUCUCGUCCGAAGGACGCCGCAGCCGGUCGGGCAGCGCAAGCGUGACGGCCUGAGAGUCGGGAGAUGGCAGGUGACCGCUGGCGGAUCUCGUGUCCGUCGGCGGUUGUUAGCCGUCCCGACAGUGGCACGUCGCUCGACCGAGGUGUCGCAAGUCCCCUCGGGGACUCCACGUCUCCAUCUUAAAGAUGCGAUCGAGGAGUCGCAGGCUCCGCGACCCGCGUCGUCGCACCGCCUCGCGGUGGGCGCGUGGUCUCGCGGUACCGCUGGCGAAAUCCGCAUCGCUGGAGGCCGGAGGCUAGCGGCGAGUAGGUCGGUCACCCACCCGACCCGUCUUGAAACACGGACCAAGGAGUCCAACAUGUGCGCGAGUCAGUGGGUCUUGAACAGGCCCACGGGCGCAAUGAAAGCGAAGGCAGGCUCUCGCCGGCCGAGUUGGGAUCCCCUUCUCAGGGAGGGGCGCACCAACGACCCGUCCCGUCCGGUUCGCCGGUGGGAUGGAGUGUGAGCGUACACGUUGGGACCCGAAAGAUGGUGAACUAUGCCCGGACAGGACGAGGCCAGAGGAAACUCUGGUGGAGGUCCGCAGCGGUU